GAAUGCUGACAUAAGUAACGAUAAAGCGGGUGAAAAGCCCGCUCGCCGGAAGACCAAGGGUUCCUGUCCAACGUUAAUCGGGGCAGGGUGAGUCGACCCCUAAGGCGAGGCCGAAAGGCGUAGUCGAUGGGAAACGGGUUAAUAUUCCCGUACUUGGUGUUACUGCGAAGGGGGGACGGAGAAGGCUAUGUUGGCCGGGCGACGGUUGUCCCGGUUUAAGCGUGUAGGCUGGUUUUCCAGGCAAAUCCGGAAAAUCAAGGCUGAGGCGUGAUGACGAGGCACUACGGUGCUGAAGCAACAAAUGCCCUGCUUCCAGGAAAAGCCUCUAAGCAUCAGGUAACAUCAAAUCGUACCCCAAACCGACACAGGUGGUCAGGUAGAGAAUACCAAGGCGCUUGAGAGAACUCGGGUGAAGGAACUAGGCAAAAUGGUGCCGUAACUUCGGGAGAAGGCACGCUGACACGUAGGUGAAGUGAUUUACUCAUGGAGCUGAAGUCAGUCGAAGAUACCAGCUGGCUGCAACUGUUUAUUAAAAACACAGCACUGUGCAAACACGAAAGUGGACGUAUACGGUGUGACGCCUGCCCGGUGCCGGAAGGUUAAUUGAUGGGGUCAGCGCAAGCGAAGCUCCUGAUCGAAGCCCCGGUAAACGGCGGCCGUAACUAUAACGGUCCUAAGGUAGCGAAAUUCCUUGUCGGGUAAGUUCCGACCUGCACGAAUGGCGUAAUGAUGGCCAGGCUGUCUCCACCCGAGACUCAGUGAAAUUGAACUCGCUGUGAAGAUGCAGUGUACCCGCGGCAAGACGGAAAGACCCCGUGAACCUUUACUAUAGCUUGACACUGAACAUUGAGCCUUGAUGUGUAGGAUAGGUGGGAGGCUUUGAAGUGUGGACGCCAGUCUGCAUGGAGCCGACCUUGAAAUACCACCCUUUAAUGUUUGAUGUUCUAACGUGGACCCGUUACCCGGGUUGCGGACAGUGUCUGGUGGGUAGUUUGACUGGGGCGGUCUCCUCCUAAAGAGUAACGGAGGAGCACGAAGGUUGGCUAAUCCUGGUCGGACAUCAGGAGGUUAGUGCAAUGGCAUAAGCCAGCUUGACUGCGAGCGUGACGGCGCGAGCAGGUGCGAAAGCAGGUCAUAGUGAUCCGGUGGUUCUGAAUGGAAGGGCCAUCGCUCAACGGAUAAAAGGUACUCCGGGGAUAACAGGCUGAUACCGCCCAAGAGUUCAUAUCGACGGCGGUGUUUGGCACCUCGAUGUCGGCUCAUCACAUCCUGGGGCUGAAGUAGGUCCCAAGGGUAUGGCUGUUCGCCAUUUAAAGUGGUACGCGAGCUGGGUUUAGAACGUCGUGAGACAGUUCGGUCCCUAUCUGCCGUGGGCGCUGGAGAACUGAGGGGGGCUGCUCCUAGUACGAGAGGACCGGAGUGGACGCAUCACUGGUGUUCGGGUUGUCAUGCCAAUGGCACUGCCCGGUAGCUAAAUGCGGAAGAGAUAAGUGCUGAAAGCAUCUAAGCACGAAACUUGCCCCGA
RNAcentral lists this ribosomal RNA (1525 nucleotides) under Salmonella enterica. RNAcentral describes it as "partial 23S ribosomal RNA". It matches the Rfam family "Bacterial large subunit ribosomal RNA", at positions 1292 to 2802 of the family's 2925-position model. Lineage: Bacteria; Pseudomonadati; Pseudomonadota; Gammaproteobacteria; Enterobacterales; Enterobacteriaceae. RNAcentral also lists the same sequence under 2 other names. The record is from RNAcentral.